Molecule: ribosomal RNA, 497 nt
Filed under: uncultured bacterium
Lineage: Bacteria
Description: partial 16S ribosomal RNA
Rfam family: Bacterial small subunit ribosomal RNA
Source: RNAcentral
GAUGAACGCUGGCGGCGUGCCUAAUACAUGCAAGUCGAGCGAACAGACGAGGAGCUUGCUCCUCUGACGUUAGCGGCGGACGGGUGAGUAACACGUGAAUAACCUACUAAUAUGACAUGACUACAUUCGGGAAACGGGAGUAAAUACCGGGAAAUAUUUUUACCUGAUGGGUUCAAGAAUGAAUGAGGGUUUUGCGAUGCAUUAUAGAUGGAUCCGCGCGUCAUUAGCGAGUUGGUAAGGUAACGGCUUACCAAGGAAACGAUGCGUAGCCGACCUGAGAGGGGGAACGGGCACACUGGAACUGAGACACGGUACAGACUCCGAGGGGAGGCAGCAGUAGGGAAUCUACGGCAAUGGGCGGAAGCCUGACGGAGCAGCGCCGCGUGGGUGAUGAAGGGCUGCGGAUCGGAAAACUCUGUUAUUAGUGAAGAACAAAUGUGUAAGUAACUAUGCACGUCUUGACGGUACCUAAUCAGAAAGCCACGGCUAACUACGUG